This 207-nucleotide ribosomal RNA is filed under the name uncultured delta proteobacterium. Its description in RNAcentral is "partial 16S ribosomal RNA". It matches the Rfam family "Bacterial small subunit ribosomal RNA", at positions 568 to 774 of the family's 1533-position model. The record is from RNAcentral. Lineage: Bacteria; Deltaproteobacteria.
CGUGUAGGCGGUUUUGUAAGUCUGAUGUGAAAGCCCUGGGCUCAACCCGGGAAGUGCAUUGGAUACUGUAAGACUUGAAUACGGGAGAGGGCAGUGGAAUUCCUAGUGUAGGAGUGAAAUCCGUAGAUAUUAGGAGGAACACCGGUGGCGAAGGCGGCUGCCUGGACCGAUAUUGACGCUGAGACGCGAAAGCGUGGGUAGCAAACA